RNAcentral lists this ribosomal RNA (253 nucleotides) under uncultured bacterium. RNAcentral's name for it is "partial 16S ribosomal RNA". It matches the Rfam family "Bacterial small subunit ribosomal RNA", at positions 524 to 776 of the family's 1533-position model. The record is from RNAcentral.
UACAGAGGUCCCGAGCGUUGUUCGGAUUUAUUGGGCGUAAAGCGCGCGCAGGCGGAUCUAAAAGUCAGGUGUGAAAUCUCGGAGCUUAACUCCGAAAGUGCGCCUGAAACUCUAGAUCUAGAAUAUCGGAGAGGGAAGGGGAAUUUCUCAUGUAGGGGUAAAAUCCGUAGAUAUGAGAAGGAACACCAGAGGCGAAGGCGCCUUCCUGGACGAUGAUUGACGCUGAGGCGCGAAAGCGUGGGGAGCAAACAGG